UUGAACGCUGGCGGCAUGCUUUACACAUGCAAGUCGAACGGCAGCGGGGGCUUCGGCCUGCCGGCGAGUGGCGAACGGGUGAGUAAUGCAUCGGAACGUGCCAUUGAGUGGGGGAUAACGUAGCGAAAGUUGCGCUAAUACCGCAUAUUCUGUGAGCAGGAAAGCAGGGGACCGCAAGGCCUUGCGCUCUUUGAGCGGCCGAUGUCAGAUUAGCUAGUUGGUGAGGUAAAGGCUUACCAAGGCGACGAUCUGUAGCGGGUCUGAGAGGAUGAUCCGCCACACUGGAACUGAGACACGGUCCAGACUCCUACGGGAGGCAGCAGUGGGGAAUUUUGGACAAUGGGGGCAACCCUGAUCCAGCCAUGCCGCGUGAGUGAAGAAGGCCUUCGGGUUGUAAAGCUCUUUCGGCCGGGAAGAAAUCGCAUGGGUGAAUACCCUGUGUGGAUGACGGUACCGGAACAAGAAGCACCGGCUAACUACGUGCCAGCAGCCGCGGUAAUACGUAGGGUGCGAGCGUUAAUCGGAAUUACUGGGCGUAAAGCGUGCGCAGGCGGUUUGGUAAGACAGGCGUGAAAUCCCCGGGCUUAACCUGGGAACUGCGCUUGUGACUGCCAGGCUAGAGUACGGCAGAGGGGGGUGGAAUUCCACGUGUAGCAGUGAAAUGCGUAGAGAUGUGGAGGAACACCAAUGGCGAAGGCAGCCCCCUGGGUCGAUACUGACGCUCAUGCACGAAAGCGUGGGUAGCAAACAGGAUUAGAUACCCUGGUAGUCCACGCCCUAAACGAUGUCAACUAGGUGUUGGGUGGGUAAAACCAUUUAGUACCGUAGCUAACGCGUGAAGUUGACCGCCUGGGGAGUACGGCCGCAAGGUUAAAACUCAAAGGAAUUGACGGGGACCCGCACAAGCGGUGGAUGAUGUGAUUAAUUCGAUGCAACGCGAAAAACCUUACCUACCCUUGACAUGCCAGGAACUUGCCAGAGAUGGCUUGGUGCCCGAAAGGGAGCCUGGACACAGGUGCUGCAUGACUGUCGUCAGCUCGUGUCGUAGGAUGUUAGGGUCAGUCCUGUCACGAGCGCAUCCUGAUCGUAUGCAAUCAAUUGGUGCCACUUUAACGGAACUGCGGGUGACAAACCUGGAGAGAAAGGUUGGGAAAUGAACGCUUCAAGAUUCUCUCCUCAUUUGC
Molecule: ribosomal RNA, 1184 nt
Filed under: bacterium CYCU-0268
Lineage: Bacteria
Description: bacterial SSU rRNA
Rfam family: Bacterial small subunit ribosomal RNA
Source: RNAcentral